Molecule: ribosomal RNA, 253 nt
Filed under: uncultured bacterium
Lineage: Bacteria
Description: partial 16S ribosomal RNA
Rfam family: Bacterial small subunit ribosomal RNA
Source: RNAcentral
UACAGAGGUCUCAAGCGUUUUUCGGAUUCAUUGGGCGUAAAGGGUGCGUAGGCGGUGGGGUAAGUCUGGUGUGAAAUCUUGGAGCUCAACUCCAAAAUUGCACUGGAUACUGCUCUGCUAGAGGACUGGAGAGGAGAUUGGAAUUCACGGUGUAGCAGUGAAAUGCGUAGAUAUCGUGAGGAAGACCAGUGGCGAAGGCGAAUCUCUGGACAGUUCCUGACGCUGAGGCACGAAGGCCAGGGGAGCAAACGGG